This 360-nucleotide ribosomal RNA is filed under the name uncultured Streptococcus sp. Its description in RNAcentral is "bacterial SSU rRNA". It matches the Rfam family "Bacterial small subunit ribosomal RNA", at positions 1021 to 1382 of the family's 1533-position model. The record is from RNAcentral. Lineage: Bacteria; Bacillati; Bacillota; Bacilli; Lactobacillales; Streptococcaceae.
CGGUACAUCGGUGACAGGUGGUGCAUGGUUGUCGUCAGCUCGUGUCGUGAGAUGUUGGGUUAAGUCCCGCAGCGAGCGCAACCCCUAUUGUUAGUUGCCAUCAUUCAGUUGGGCACUCUAGCGAGACUGCCGGUAAUAAACCGGAGGAAGGUGGGGAUGACGUCAAAUCAUCAUGCCCCUUAUGACCUGGGCUACACACGUGCUACAAUGGUUGGUACAACGAGUUGCGAGUCGGUGACGGCGAGCUAAUCUCUUAAAGCCAAUCUCAGUUCGGAUUGUAGGCUGCAACUCGCCUACAUGAAGUCGGAAUCGCUAGUAAUCGCGGAUCAGCACGCCGCGGUGAAUACGUUCCCGGGCCUU